AGACGAUGGUCCAAACGAUUGCGU
RNAcentral lists this non-coding RNA (24 nucleotides) under Arabidopsis thaliana (thale cress). Lineage: Eukaryota; Viridiplantae; Streptophyta; Magnoliopsida; Brassicales; Brassicaceae. The record is from RNAcentral.